RNAcentral lists this ribosomal RNA (253 nucleotides) under uncultured bacterium. RNAcentral describes it as "partial 16S ribosomal RNA". It matches the Rfam family "Bacterial small subunit ribosomal RNA", at positions 524 to 776 of the family's 1533-position model. The record is from RNAcentral.
UACAGAGGUGGCGAGCGUUGUUCGGAUUUACUGGGCGUAAAGGGUGCGUAGGUGGUCUCGUAUGUCGGAUGUGAAAGCCCACUGCUCAACGGUGGAGGGUCAUUCGAAACUGCGAGGCUUGAGUGCAGGAGGGGAGAGCGGAAUUCUCGGUGUAGCGGUGAAAUGCGUUGAUAUCGAGAGGAACACCGGUGGCGAAGGCGGCUCUCUGGAAUGCAACUGACACUGAGGCACGAAAGCUGGGGGAGCAAACAGG